GAAUACAUAGUUCAAAGGUAGAACGGUUGGCUGUUAACCAACUAAUGAGAGUUCGAUUCUCUCUGUAUUCGCCA
This 74-nucleotide transfer RNA is filed under the name uncultured phage. Its description in RNAcentral is "tRNA-Asn(gtt)". It matches the Rfam family "tRNA". From Rfam's summary of the family: Transfer RNA (tRNA) molecules are approximately 80 nucleotides in length. The record is from RNAcentral.